This 45-nucleotide non-coding RNA is filed under the name Schistosoma mansoni. The record is from RNAcentral. Lineage: Eukaryota; Metazoa; Platyhelminthes; Trematoda; Strigeidida; Schistosomatidae.
AUCCAGUUGACGAGUCCCAGAUAAGACGAAACGCGCGUCCUGGAU